UUGACGAUUUAUUCAAAAUCGACCAGAUGACCCUAAAAAGGGUAAAUUGGUUAAAUGACCCUAAAAAGGGUAAAUUGGUCAAAUGAAUUGAUGAUUUAUUGAAUGAAUCGGCAAAAUGGAUUGGUUGAAUUGUCCGGCCAUUGGUUAUUUCAAAAUUAUUGAAGUGCAUUAGUCUAUGACCUUCUAAAAAUCAAAUUUUGGCCUCAAUUUAUUUAUCGUCUCAAAAGGAGGAAUCAUUUGUGAAUUUCUUCAAAUUAAUGUCCUUCACGCAAGGGAUUUUUA
Molecule: long non-coding RNA, 282 nt
Filed under: Coffea arabica (coffee)
Lineage: Eukaryota; Viridiplantae; Streptophyta; Magnoliopsida; Gentianales; Rubiaceae
Description: long non-coding RNA (CARA_LNC007756)
Source: RNAcentral